Long non-coding RNA from Mytilus trossulus (common blue mussel), 321 nucleotides. RefSeq lists it as uncharacterized. The record is from RefSeq and is a predicted model, not a curated record. NCBI's taxonomy places the organism in Eukaryota, Metazoa, Mollusca, Bivalvia, Mytilida, Mytilidae. The transcript is spliced from 3 exons.
AAAAGAGAUGACAAAAAUUUCUAAGUUAAUUUUAAAUCCAUCAUUCAAACAGCCAAAGGACAGACUUCGGUAUACCACGGAGGGUAGACUUACUUAACAUACUUAGAGAAUUCAGGUAGAUGGUUUUCCCAGACAGAUAUAUGGAGUUCAGGUGUUAAAAGACAUAGCAGUAACACGAUCUGAGAAGGUCAGCAGUAAUCAAUGGAUUAGAUAUCUGGGCUCAGAUUAGGCAAGAUGUUGGCAUAGCUGAGUCUCAUUAUAAAUGUUCAGCUGUGUCCCAUAUUGCCACCUUUGGGUCUAAAUAAAUCAACAAACGGACAA